AGUGACGAUAGCCUAGGAGAUACACCUGUUCCCAUGCCGAACACAGCAGUUAAGCCCUAGAACGCCUGAAGUAGUUGGGGGUUGCCCCCUGUUAGAUAUGGUAGUCGCUU
This 110-nucleotide ribosomal RNA is filed under the name human gut metagenome. The record is from RNAcentral.